RNAcentral lists this ribosomal RNA (496 nucleotides) under uncultured bacterium. RNAcentral describes it as "partial 16S ribosomal RNA". The stretch from base 20 to 339 matches the Rfam family "Bacterial small subunit ribosomal RNA", at positions 47 to 358 of the family's 1533-position model. The record is from RNAcentral.
GACGAACGCUGGCGGCGUGCUUAACACAUGCAAGUCGAACGGUGAAGCGCCUUCCUUUUUGGUGGGUGUGGAUGAGUGGCGAACGGGUGAGUAACACGUGAGUAACCUGCCCCCUUCUUCUGGAUAACCGCAUGAAAGUGUGGCUAAUACGGGAUAUUCUGGGUCUGUCGCAUGAUGGGUCUGGGAAAGAUAUUGUUUCGGUGGGGGAUGGGCUCGCGGCCUAUCAGCUUGUUGGUGGGGUGAUGGCCUACCAAGGCGGUGACGGGUAGCCGGCCUGAGAGGGGGGGGGGUGCAACAGUGGGGGGAAGCCGCGCACGAGACUCAGGGGGGGGCAGGGGGGGGAGAAUGGGGAAGAGGGGGCAGGGGUCGGGAGCAGCGUCGCCGGGGGGGGGAGGGGGGCCUGGGUUUUGAGACUCUUUCCGGGGGGGGAAGCGGGUGUGCCGUUUUUGGGGGUGGUUGGAGGGGAGGUGAAAAAGAAGCCCCGGAAAACUACGGG